GUCCUUCCAUGCUCAGUCAGUAGAGCAUGAUACUCUUAAUCUCAGUGUCGUGGGUUUGAGCCCCAUGUUGGGCA
Non-coding RNA from Podarcis lilfordi (Lilford's wall lizard), 74 nucleotides. Lineage: Eukaryota; Metazoa; Chordata; Lepidosauria; Squamata; Lacertidae. The record is from the annotation of a GenBank genome assembly.